GACGAACGCUGGCGGCGUGCUUAACACAUGCAAGUCGAACGGAAAGGCCCUGCUUUUGUGGGGUGCUCGAGUGGCGAACGGGUGAGUAACACGUGAGUAACCUGCCCUUGACCUUGGAUAACUUCAGGAAACUGGGGCUAAUACCGGAUAGGAGCUCCUGCUGCAUGGUGGGGGUUGGAAAGUUUCGGCGGUUGGGGAUGGACUCGCGGCUUAUCAGCUUGUUGGUGGGGUAGUGGCUUACCAAGGCUUUGACGGGUAGCCGGCCUGAGAGGGUGACCGGCCACAUUGGGACUGAGAUACGGCCCAGACUCCUACGGGAGGCAGCAGUGGGGAAUAUUGCACAAUGGGCGGAAGCCUGAUGCAGCAACGCCGCGUGCGGGAUGACGGCCUUCGGGUUGUAAACCGCUUUCGCCUGUGACGAAGCGUGAGUGACGGUAAUGGGUAAAGAAGCACCGGCUAACUACGUG
RNAcentral lists this ribosomal RNA (467 nucleotides) under uncultured bacterium. RNAcentral describes it as "partial 16S ribosomal RNA". It matches the Rfam family "Bacterial small subunit ribosomal RNA", at positions 28 to 507 of the family's 1533-position model. The record is from RNAcentral.